GGGGGCGACCUGGUUUCGACGUGGGUUGCAAAGCAGUUAGGGCAUACCGAGGAGCGGGCUACCUCGUUAAUCCAUCCGUCAAAAAGAUAGUCGCCAACGACGAAUCUUACGCUCUGGCCGCUUAAGGCCGGACGCUGCACCGAUCGGCCUGCGGGUCGGGCUGGGUAAAACCAGCAGCAGCGUCAUAAACAGCAGGAGCAAGGCAAGCCUGAGCCGCGGGGGCUUGCACGGAAACCUAGCGGAUCGCUCGUAACCAGCCUGCCGGUCGGCGGGUUGCGGGUCAAAUCAAACGACCAGGCUAAGUAUGUAGAACUGACUGUAGAGGGCUUGCGGACGCGGGUUCGAUCCCCGCCGCCUCCACCA
RNAcentral lists this transfer-messenger RNA (363 nucleotides) under Thiobacillaceae. RNAcentral's name for it is "Sulfuritortus sp013389055 Standard tmRNA". It matches the Rfam family "transfer-messenger RNA". Rfam says of the family: Bacterial tmRNA, also known as 10Sa RNA or SsrA, is named for its dual tRNA and mRNA-like properties. Its role is to liberate the mRNA from a stalled ribosome. To accomplish this part of the tmRNA is used as a reading frame that ends in a translation stop signal. Lineage: Bacteria; Pseudomonadati; Pseudomonadota; Betaproteobacteria; Nitrosomonadales. RNAcentral also lists the same sequence under 1 other name. The record is from RNAcentral.